This is a non-coding RNA of Cheilinus undulatus (humphead wrasse), 1702 nucleotides long. The record is from the annotation of a RefSeq genome assembly. NCBI's taxonomy places the organism in Eukaryota, Metazoa, Chordata, Actinopteri, Labriformes, Labridae.
UACUCACAAGCUAGCCCACCCCUGCAAACCCAACACCCCCAUAUCACUACCCCCAUACACCCAAUAAAACUAAAUAAACAAAACAUUUUUCCCCCUUAGUAUAGGCGAUAGAAAAGAGCCCAGGCGCAAUAGAUAAAGUACCGCAAGGGAAAGCUGAAAGAGAAAUGAAACAACCCAGUUAAGAAAAGAAAAGCAAAGAUAAAACCUUGUACCUUUUGCAUCAUGAGUUAGCCAGUCAACCCAAGCAAAGAGUCCUUUAGUUUGUCCCCCCGAAACUAGGUGAGCUACUCCAAGACAGCCUAAAAAUUAGGGCGCACCCGUCUCUGUGGCAAAAGAGUGGGAAGAGCUUCGAGUAGCGGUGACAGACCUAUCGAACCUAGUUAUAGCUGGUUGCCCGAGAAGUGGAUACAAGUUCAGCCUCUUGGCCUCUCCCCUCAAUCUGUCCUAACCUCCUCAGACACCUAAGAGACCAAAAGAGUUAUUCAAGGGGGGUACAGCCCUCUUGAAAAAAGACACAACUUUAACAGGAGAAUAAAGAUCAAAAUAACCAAGGAGCUCUCACGUCUUCGUGGGCUCAGAAGCAGCCAUCCCAUUAGAGUGCGUUAAAGCUCAGACACCUCAACUCUCAAACCACUCCUUAGAUCCUGAUAAUUUACUCUUAAUCCCUACCCAUACCGGGCCAUUCCAUGCCUCCAUGGAAGCGACCAUGCUAAUAUGAGUAAUAAGAGAGCUAAGACUCUCUCCCCGCAUAAGUGUAUCUCGGAACGAACCCCCACCGAUUAUUAACGGACCCAACCAAAGAGGGAAAUAGACCAUACAAAAGACAACUAGAAAAACAUCAAUCCUUGACCCCGUUAACCCCACACUGGUGUGCAACAAGGGAAAGACUAAAAAAAAGAGAAGGAACUCGGCAAACAUCUCAAGCCUCGCCUGUUUACCAAAAACAUCGCCUCUUGCAACAUCAACGUAUAAGAGGUAUUGCCUGCCCAGUGACGUAGAGUUCAACGGCCGCGGUAUAUUGACCGUGCGAAGGUAGCGCGAUCACUUGUCUUUUAAUUGGAGACCUGUAUGAACGGCACGACGAGGGCUUAACUGUCUCCUCUUUUAAGUCAAUGAAAUUGAUCUCUCCGUGCAGAAGCGGAGAUACCCCCAUAAGACGAGAAGACCCUAUGGAGCUUUAGACACUAAAGCAGAUCACGUAAACAUCUUCAAAACAACGAACCGAACACAAUGUUCCCUGCCCUACUGUCUUCGGUUGGGGCGACCACGGGGAAACACACAACCCCCACGCGGAAUGGGCUUACAUUCCCUAAGCCAAGAGCACCAGCUCUAAGAAACAGAACCUCUGACCUAGAGAUCCGGCUUAGCCGAUCAACGGACCAAGUUACCCUAGGGAUAACAGCGCAAUCCCCUUUUAGAGUCCAUAUCGACAAGGGGGUUUACGACCUCGAUGUUGGAUCAGGACAUCCUAAUGGUGCAGCCGCUAUUAAGGGUUCGUUUGUUCAACGAUUAAAGUCCUACGUGAUCUGAGUUCAGACCGGAGUAAUCCAGGUCAGUUUCUAUCUAUGCCGUGUUCUUCUCUAGUACGAAAGGACCGAGAAGAAGAGCCCCCUGCUAAAGGCACGCCUCACUUUUACCUAUAGAAAACAACUAAAAAAGACAACAAAGCACAUCCUACCUCACCAGCCUGAGACCCCGGCGC